GAUGAACGCUGGCGGCGUGCCUAAUACAUGCAAGUCGAGCGAACAGACGAGGAGCUUGCUCCUCUGACGUUAGCGGCGGACGGGUGAGUAACACGUGGAUAACCUACCUAUAAGACUGGGAUAACUUCGGGAAACCGGAGCUAAUACCGGAUAAUAUAUUGAGCCGCAUGGUUCAAUAGUGAAAGACGGUUUUGCUGUCACUUAUAGAUGGAUCCGCGCCGCAUUAGCUAGUUGGUAAGGUAACGGCUUACCAAGGCAACGAUGCGUAGCCGACCUGAGAGGGUGAUCGGCCACACUGGAACUGAGACACGGUCCAGACUCCUACGGGAGGCAGCAGUAGGGAAUCUUCCGCAAUGGGCGAAAGCCUGACGGAGCAACGCCGCGUGAGUGAUGAAGGUCCUCGGAUCGUAAAACUCUGUUAUUAGGGAAGAACAAAUGUGUAAGUAACUAUGCACGUCUUGACGGUACCUAAUCAGAAAGCCACGGCUAACUACGUG
Molecule: ribosomal RNA, 497 nt
Filed under: uncultured bacterium
Lineage: Bacteria
Description: partial 16S ribosomal RNA
Rfam family: Bacterial small subunit ribosomal RNA
Source: RNAcentral